RNAcentral lists this ribosomal RNA (113 nucleotides) under Callithrix jacchus (white-tufted-ear marmoset). The record is from RNAcentral. Lineage: Eukaryota; Metazoa; Chordata; Mammalia; Primates; Cebidae.
GUCUAUGGCCAUACAAACAUGCCUAACCUUGUCUGAUCUUGGAAGCGAAGCAGAGUUGGGCCUGCUUAGCACUUGGUUGGAAGACUAACUAGGACUAACAGGUGCUGUAGUUU